Molecule: transfer RNA, 97 nt
Filed under: Morchella angusticeps
Lineage: Eukaryota; Fungi; Ascomycota; Pezizomycetes; Pezizales; Morchellaceae
Also listed under: 18 other names
Description: tRNA-Ser
Rfam family: tRNA
About the family: Transfer RNA (tRNA) molecules are approximately 80 nucleotides in length. Their secondary structure includes four short double-helical elements and three loops (D, anti-codon, and T loops). Further hydrogen bonds mediate the characteristic L-shaped molecular structure. tRNAs have two regions of fundamental functional importance: the anti-codon, which is responsible for specific mRNA codon recognition, and the 3' end, to which the tRNAs corresponding amino acid is attached (by aminoacyl-tRNA synthetases). tRNAs cope with the degeneracy of the genetic code in two manners: having more than one tRNA (with a specific anti-codon) for a particular amino acid; and 'wobble' base-pairing, i.e. permitting non-standard base-pairing at the 3rd anti-codon position.
Source: RNAcentral
GACACUGUGGUGGAGUGGUUAACACGUUCGCCUGCUAUUCUUAGGAAAGUGUAAGCGGAUGCCUUCGGGCGCGCGAGUUCGAAUCUCGUCGGUGUCG